CCUGAAACCGUGUACGUACAAGCAGUGGGAGCACGCUUCGGCGUGUGACUGCGUACCUUUUGUAUAAUGGGUCAGCGACUUAUAUUCUGUAGCAAGGUUAACCGAAUAGGGGAGCCGAAGGGAAACCGAGUCUUAACUGGGCGUUAAGUUGCAGGGUAUAGACCCGAAACCCGGUGAUCUAGCCAUGGGCAGGUUGAAGGUUGGGUAACACUAACUGGAGGACCGAACCGACUAAUGUUGAAAAAUUAGCGGAUGACUUGUGGCUGGGGGUGAAAGGCCAAUCAAACCGGGAGAUAGCUGGUUCUCCCCGAAAGCUAUUUAGGUAGCGCCUCGUGAAUUCAUCUCCGGGGGUAGAGCACUGUUUCGGCAAGGGGGUCAUCCCGACUUACCAACCCGAUGCAAACUGCGAAUACCGGAGAAUGUUAUCACGGGAGACACACGGCGGGUGCUAACGUCCGUCGUGAAGAGGGAAACAACCCAGACCGCCAGCUAAGGUCCCAAAGUCAUGGUUAAGUGGGAAACGAUGUGGGAAGGCCCAGACAGCCAGGAUGUUGGCUUAGAAGCAGCCAUCAUUUAAAGAAAGCGUAAUAGCUCACUGGUCGAGUCGGCCUGCGCGGAAGAUGUAACGGGGCUAAACCAUGCACCGAAGCUGCGGCAGCGACACUAUGUGUUGUUGGGUAGGGGAGCGUUCUGUAAGCCUGUGAAGGUGUGCUGUGAGGCAUGCUGGAGGUAUCAGAAGUGCGAAUGCUGACAUAAGUAACGAUAAAGCGGGUGAAAAGCCCGCUCGCCGGAAGACCAAGGGUUCCUGUCCAACGUUAAUCGGGGCAGGGUGAGUCGACCCCUAAGGCGAGGCCGAAAGGCGUAGUCGAUGGGAAACAGGUUAAUAUUCCUGUACUUGGUGUUACUGCGAAGGGGGGACGGAGAAGGCUAUGUUGGCCGGGCGACGGUUGUCCCGGUUUAAGCGUGUAGGCUGGUUUUCCAGGCAAAUCCGGAAAAUCAAGGCUGAGGCGUGAUGACGAGGCACUACGGUGCUGAAGCAACAAAUGCCCUGCUUCCAGGAAAAGCCUCUAAGCAUCAGGUAACAUUAAAUCGUACCCCAAACCGACACAGGUGGUCAGGUAGAGAAUACCAAGGCGCUUGAGAGAACUCGGGUGAAGGAACUAGGCAAAAUGGUGCCGUAACUUCGGGAGAAGGCACGCUGAUAUGUAGGUGAAGUCCCUCGCGGAUGGAGCUGAAAUCAGUCGAAGAUACCAGCUGGCUGCAACUGUUUAUUAAAAACACAGCACUGUGCAAACACGAAAGUGGACGUAUACGGUGUGACGCCUGCCCGGUGCCGGAAGGUUAAUUGAUGGGGUUAGCGGUAACGCGAAGCUCUUGAUCGAAGCCCCGGUAAACGGCGGCCGUAACUAUAACGGUCCUAAGGUAGCGAAAUUCCUUGUCGGGUAAGUUCCGACCUGCACGAAUGGCGUAAUGAUGGCCAGGCUGUCUCCACCCGAGACUCAGUGAAAUUGAACUCGCUGUGAAGAUGCAGUGUACCCGCGGCAAGACGGAAAGACCCCGUGAACCUUUACUAUAGCUUGACACUGAACAUUGAGCCUUGAUGUGUAGGAUAGGUGGGAGGCUUUGAAGUGUGGACGCCAGUCUGCAUGGAGCCGACCUUGAAAUACCACCCUUUAAUGUUU
This 1682-nucleotide ribosomal RNA is filed under the name Escherichia coli. RNAcentral's name for it is "partial 23S ribosomal RNA". It matches the Rfam family "Bacterial large subunit ribosomal RNA", at positions 549 to 2215 of the family's 2925-position model. Lineage: Bacteria; Pseudomonadati; Pseudomonadota; Gammaproteobacteria; Enterobacterales; Enterobacteriaceae. The record is from RNAcentral.